UACGUAGGGAGCUAGCGUUGUUCGGAAUCACUGGGCGUAAAGCGCACGUAGGCGGAUGUGUCAGUCAGGGGUGAAAUCCCGGAGCUCAACUUCGGAACUGCCCUUGAUACAGCACGUCUUGAGUCCGGAAGAGGUGGGUGGAAUUCCUAGUGUAGAGGUGAAAUUCGUAGAUAUUAGGAAGAACACCGGUGGCGAAGGCGGCCCACUGGUCCGGUACUGACGCUGAGGUGCGAAAGCGUGGGGAGCAAACAGG
This 253-nucleotide ribosomal RNA is filed under the name uncultured bacterium. RNAcentral describes it as "partial 16S ribosomal RNA". It matches the Rfam family "Bacterial small subunit ribosomal RNA", at positions 524 to 776 of the family's 1533-position model. The record is from RNAcentral.